ACAUUUUUUUUAUUUCCUCUUUCCCCGUCCAACGAUCCAAAACUAAUCCCCAAAACCAGAGGCCCAUUUGACCCAAGAGAAAAGAAAAACCAGCCGGAGGCCAUACUGUUCGUUCUGAUCGACGUUGAACUUAGGAGUUCGCUUUCUCACUCCUCUCAAAUGGGAGCUCACAAUUCGUUAUCUUUUGUCACUGUCAAUGUACUUUGUAGGGAAUUUGUGUGGGGAGCUAUUGUUGUGGCAUAUGGGGAAGGAAUGUUGCAUCCUGUUGAGACCAUAAAGACGCGUAUUUGGAGCCAUGCUAAAGAUGUUGUAGAUGUAAUAUUCAUGGCUAAUGGGUGAAGCUCAAACGUUUGGUUUUGUUCUAUGAAGGCUUGAAAGAUUAGACAGAGUAUGGGAAGCAAAUUACAAAAUCCAAAUUUCCAUAUUUAUAGUUCUAGUGAGGGAGUCAUGCUUGGUGGAUUGGCUGGUGGUAUGCAUAUCUUGCCACUCCGUUAGAUGCGAUCAUGUGAUCAAAAUAAGAUUUCAAGUGCAGGGUAAGACCUUGAGGUAGGAAUGGCUGGUUGCAUGCAAUUUGUUGCAUAUAGAUGGAUGAUGAUGCAUAGGGGAUGUUCAGAGGUAGCAUUCUCAGGAUUGGAGGGUUUAGUCUAGCUUCAGCUCCUCCCUUACGGCUAUUGGAUUUUCUCGGAGAUCAUUUCAAUGAAGGAUUGAGCAAUGACAACACGCAAGAAGUUGCUAGCGUGUCAGUGGAGGAAAUACUGGGGAAUUUUCAUGUAUCCAAAUAAUAAUUUGGACAAGACUUUUAAUAAUGUUUUCUUGUAAUAUGUUAGACAUAUAAUGAUAUUGAGGAGGAGGUUUUUGGUAUUA
Molecule: long non-coding RNA, 864 nt
Organism: Prunus avium (sweet cherry)
Lineage: Eukaryota; Viridiplantae; Streptophyta; Magnoliopsida; Rosales; Rosaceae
Source: RefSeq, a predicted model, not a curated record